This 4495-nucleotide long non-coding RNA is filed under the name Setaria viridis. Its description in RNAcentral is "long non-coding RNA (SVIR_LNC000158)". The record is from RNAcentral. Lineage: Eukaryota; Viridiplantae; Streptophyta; Magnoliopsida; Poales; Poaceae.
GGAUAUGGAGGUUGACAAUGUUAAGGGAACAGAUGAAGGAACAGAAGAAGAUGCUGGUGCUAAAAAUGAUAAUAAAGAUGAGAAGGAGAGUGCAGAAAAUAAUGACAUAGUAGCAAACGAUUCUACUGAUGAACAUGAUGAAACAAUUUAUGAAAUUAAUAAUGAAGAGGUCAGUUCAGAGUUUCCAUCAAUGAAGUGUGAGAAAUUAGAUCUACAUUCUUUUGUUAAUAUCAUCUGAAAAAUGUUCUUUUGUUAAUCAUAUUGGUGUUGGAUUCCCAAAGAUCAAAUUAACUUUCCAAAUUAGAAAUGUAGAGAAAAAAUAAAGAAAGCAUGGCGAACAAUGAGCCAGAACCUUCCUUAUUGUUGGUCCAUCGUGUCACCAUCUUGAGAAAGCUCCGGGAAACGCCAGCGACUACUCUUAGUACAUCAAAUUAUUAUGUGGGAUCACUAUUAAGUAGAAGUAAAAGUAAUAUAGGAGUAAAUAUAUAAGAAUGGCAUUUACAGAGACCAAAGAACAAUGCAGCAAUUAUUUGUUAAUAGCCUCUAAUUAGUCAUUACCCAUACUAAAAGCACUGCUACAUUUUACUCAUUUUGCAGGUUGAACCUGGUUUGGCAUCCUCUGGUCAAGAAGCAUCUGAACCGGCUCCUUCAAAUGAUGCUAUACUAGAGAAUGUAAGAUCUAAUUGACUGAAUAUUCCUCUAAAACAAUUGACUGAACACUGCCAAUGAUGUUUUGAAAGCAAUAUGUGGUAACCAUUCCAAACUCCAAAGGUGCAUUUUUUUUGGAGUCGGUUUUCCUUUCUUUUUUAAAAGAAAUAUAAAGAGACUCCCAUAAGAAAAUUUUAAAGUGAUAGACAUAAUAAUAUUGGUAUACAGGUAAAAACAAAAUAACAAGAAAACAAAGAGUGGGGUUUAGUUUUGCAGCCCGUACAAAAAAAAAAUCUUCGCUGCAUCACCACAUGCAACUUCAGGGCCCGUUUGGUUCCCUUUGCUUAUUUUUAAGCAAGUGUCACAUCAAUAUUUAGAUACUAAUUAGGAGUAUUAAACGUAGACUAUUUACAAAACUCAUUACAUAAGUGGAGGCUAAACAGCGAGACGAAUAUAUUAAGCCUAAUUAAUCCAUCAUUAGCAAAUGUUUACUGUAGCAACACAUUGUCAAAUCAUGGACUAAUUAGGCUUAAUAGAUUCGUCUCGCCGUUUAGCCUCCACUUAUGUAAUCGGUUUUGUAAAUAGUCUACGUUUAAUACUCCUAAUUAGUAUCUAAACAUUCGAUGUGACGGGUGCUUAAAUUUAAGCAAGUGAACCAAACCAGGCCUCAGUGGCAUUCAUCACUAAAUUUUUUGUAGUUCCAAUGGUCAGAUGGCUCUUCAAUUAGGUCAUCAUGCAUCUGCAGUUCGAGAAACAUCCAUAACAGUAAUUCUGACACCAUAAUAAUCUCAGGAGCUACUAUAUUUGCUGUGCAGGAUCCUGCAGCUGUUACUCAGAAUGUUGAAUCAGGAGAGCAUAGGGAGGAUAAAGAAUGCACAGACAAGGUUAAUGAUGAUGUCCACACCAUUCAAGCAUCGGAGAAAGAGAUUGCAGGUGAAAUAAAUGAGAAUAAAGAAAUUCAAAAUGAAGACAAUGCUAUCCAUCAUGAUGAAUCACAGACAAAAUCUGAAAAGGAUGAGGCGCCUCAACUGCAUGCCAGUGAACCAUGCGACAUGGAUGCCAAAAUUGAUGAUACAACAACUCCAGGCGAAGAAAUAAUCGAUGGUAAUGCAAGUAUAAAGCCCAGAGAAAUUGAAGAGAUUGGAGAAAACAAGGGACUCGACUCCACUUCCAAACCUUUUGUAGAAUCAUCCAUACAGAACAAUGUUGAGCAGGACUUAAGCAGACAUCACAAGGUCAGUACUAAUAUCCUUAACAUGUACCAGUCUUAUACGGGUCCAAAUUCGUUUUUCUUGUCAAAUCUUCUCUUAGUAAAAUUCUAUGCCAUUUUUUUCCUGCAAUCAGGUUGAAGACGAAAAUCUUUCAAUGAUGGAGCAAAAUGAUGUAGAUAUUGAAGCUAUGCAAGAAAAAGCUGAUGAAUCUGCCUCAGAUAUAAAUCUAACCAAGCAAUGUCAGGAAGAAAUUAGUGAAGAUGAUGUUCAGCAACUUGAAAUAGAAGAAAGUUCAUUUGACAAAAUUGAUGAAACCAUUUCACAUGAGAAAACAGAGACAAGCACCACUGAAGCGGUAAUAGUCAAUGACACCAUCACCAAUAAGGUCAGUAAGUGAGAGAAAUCAAUGAAUAUUGGAGUUACAUUCUGUAUUGCUAAUCUAAUUUUCCAUUUCCCAUGUAGGCUAGUGGAGACGAUGGUGAACCAUCUGAUGGAAGUCUCAAAACCUUUAAUGACACUGGAAGGGAUCUUGAUGUUUCAUCUGUAAUUACAGCAUCAAAGGAAGAAAGUGUGAAUGAGAAUAUGGAAGACCAUAAGCUUGCUCUUCCUGCGCAUGCUGCACAGGACGAAAACACCCCUGAACAGAAAGACAAGACGGAAAGAGAGAUGCCUUCAUCAGAGAAGCUCCUUACUACUGAACCAGAAGAGAAUCAAAUUCCCAAUGAAAUAAAUGAAGGGGAGUUACAGGAUGAAAAUCAAAUUCCAAAUGAAAAGAAUGAAGAGGACAUUCAAGAUACAGAAAUUGAAGAUGCUCAGAAUGAUGUUGAACCAGAUUUACCUGUUUCUCAUUUUCUGAUGAAUUUAAUAUUAGGAAAAAAGAACAGUGUUGCAGAUGAAAAUUCAGAACCUGGGGCUGAAGGGAAGCAAGGAGAAACCACAGAAGACAAUACCUGCGUGCUCAUUUCUAAAGAAGAAGAAAGUGUGGGGCCACUUUGCACAGAAAAUAAGGUGGAUGACAAUCUCACCUUUGAACAAGAAAAACAUGAUGCCAAAUGCUCCGAAGAAACACAGGAAAUGGUCAAAGAACAAAGUGAUGAUCUUAAGCUGGACACAGAAAGAUCACUACAUACUGAUGAAGAGUCCAAUAAGAACACUCAAGGCAAUCCCCAAGACAAAAUUUCUGAUGAACUGUUAUCAGAAGAAGCAGCUAGUGUUUCUACAAAUAUGAAAGCGAGAGAUAUUGAGAUUUCGAACUUUGAGCUGGAUGAUAAAGCAGUUGAUACUGUCUGUCAGGAAGACACGGAGGAGUCAACAAAAGUUGAAAAUGGAAGCUUGAAGAGCAACAUAAAUGAUUUAACAAAUACAGAGGCUUCGGAAGAGGAUACUCUAGGGGAACAACAAACAGGACUCUUGCAUGAAUCUUUACCUGAAGAUAAUAGUGCUGAUGCAGUGUCCGCGCCCUUGCUGAUAGAAUCAGGUGUGGUUGAUGCAAAAGAUUCAUCUUAUGAUGCUGAGGCUGCCCAGAACCUUACCUGUGCAAAAGAAGAUGAUCCCACUGAAUCUUCCAUCAUUGAGGCAACAAGUAGUCCUCAUAUUCAACUGGAGUGUGAAGAAGUAGAGAAGAAAGAAGAGGAGCAGCAUGCAAGCAAGGGCACAGAAAACGUUCCCAAAGAAGCUGUAGAAAGUUCAAAUGACAAUCCUCAGAAAAGCACAAGCUCUGAAGUAACACCUCAUGAGCAAGAACCUCAUAUAACGGAACCAGUUAGUGACACUGAGAAGAUUUUGGCUCCUGAAAAGGAAAUUUGUGAAGGCUCAACAUGCAUGGAUGAGAAAGAAAACUCUAACUUCUCAAUUAAAGGAGUAGAAAACUUUCAAACAGCAGUUGAAAUUCAGGCUGACAGUCCAAACAUGCAGAUCAACCAAGAUAAGAAAGAUGAAGUUGCUGACAACAAAACUGCAAUGGGACCAGAAAAGCUAGGGGAAUAUGAUUUUCAGGAGCAGCAGGAAACUGAUAGGAAACAUGAAGUUGCUGACAACAAAACUGCAAUGGGCCCAGAAAAACUAGGGGAAUCUGAUUUUCAGGAGCAGCAGGAAACUGAUACUGAGCGAAAGUCUCCUAAAGUGAGUGAUGAAGGAGACCAGCAAUUUUUGGUCAAAAAAGAGACCAUGAUCAAAGAACAGGUUGUGCCUGGAACAGUUGAAAGCCACGAGCAAACAGUGAGUAUAAAAUCUAACGAAAAGCAAGAACUGUUUGAUUCAAAGGUCCAGGAACGUGAUCUCAAUGUAGUUUCACCCAGAGAAGCUUCUGAGGCUGAAGAAAACUUUGUGGGCGUAACCAAGCCAGAAUUCAGCACAGAUGAAGAGCAAAGUCCAAAGGCUGAUGUAGAUGAGAAAACUUAUGAUGAGAAGAUAAAGGACGUAGAGGGAACUAAGGAUUUCACUGAUGGAGCAGCAACGAAAACUGAAGCACCAGGAGCAACAAAGAAGGCACCUAAAAAACUCAACCUAUUGUCUGGCGUUGGAUCAAAGGUAAAGCACCAACUAGCAAAGGUGAAGAAAGCCAUCGUAGGUAAGCCUGGGAACACAAAACCAGACUCACCAAAGUCAUAGUGAUGCAUUCACCUUAGAGCAUGUAU